UACGUAGGGGGCUAGCGUUGUCCGGAUUUAUUGGGCGUAAAGAGCGUGUAGGCGGCCAGGUAGGUCUGCUGUGAAAACUCGAGGCUCAACCUCGAGACGUCGGCGGAAACCAUCUGGCUAGAGUCCGGAAGAGGAGAGUGGAAUUCCUGGUGUAGCGGUGAAAUGCGCAGAUAUUCGGAAGAACACCAGUGGCGAAGGCGGCUCACUGGUCCGGUACUGACGCUGAGGUGCGAAAGCGUGGGGAGCAAACAGG
RNAcentral lists this ribosomal RNA (253 nucleotides) under uncultured bacterium. RNAcentral's name for it is "partial 16S ribosomal RNA". It matches the Rfam family "Bacterial small subunit ribosomal RNA", at positions 524 to 776 of the family's 1533-position model. The record is from RNAcentral.